RNAcentral lists this ribosomal RNA (2219 nucleotides) under Staphylococcus capitis. RNAcentral describes it as "bacterial LSU rRNA". It matches the Rfam family "Bacterial large subunit ribosomal RNA", at positions 703 to 2925 of the family's 2925-position model. The record is from RNAcentral. Lineage: Bacteria; Bacillati; Bacillota; Bacilli; Caryophanales; Staphylococcaceae.
UUGGUCGUAGACCCGAAACCAGGUGAUCUACCCUUGGUCAGGUUGAAGUUCAGGUAACACUGAAUGGAGGACCGAACCGACUUACGUUGAAAAGUGAGCGGAUGAACUGAGGGUAGCGGAGAAAUUCCAAUCGAACUUGGAGAUAGCUGGUUCUCUCCGAAAUAGCUUUAGGGCUAGCCUCAAGUGAUGAUUAUUGGAGGUAGAGCACUGUUUGGACGAGGGGCCCCUCUCGGGUUACCGAAUUCAGACAAACUCCGAAUGCCAAUCAAUUUAACUUGGGAGUCAGAACAUGGGUGAUAAGGUCCGUGUUCGAAAGGGAAACAGCCCAGACCACCAGCUAAGGUCCCAAAAUAUAUGUUAAGUGGAAAAGGAUGUGGCGUUGCCCAGACAACUAGGAUGUUGGCUUAGAAGCAGCCAUCAUUUAAAGAGUGCGUAAUAGCUCACUAGUCGAGUGACACUGCGCCGAAAAUGUACCGGGGCUAAACAUAUUACCGAAGCUGUGGAUUGUCCUUCGGACAAUGGUAGGAGAGCGUUCUAAGGGCGUUGAAGCAUGAUCGCAAGGACAUGUGGAGCGCUUAGAAGUGAGAAUGCCGGUGUGAGUAGCGAAAGACGGGUGAGAAUCCCGUCCACCGAUUGACUAAGGUUUCCAGAGGAAGGCUCGUCCGCUCUGGGUUAGUCGGGUCCUAAGCUGAGGCCGACAGGCGUAGGCGAUGGAUAACAGGUUGAUAUUCCUGUACCACCUAGUAUCGUUUUAAUUGAUGGGGGGACGCAGUAGGAUAGGCGAAGCGUGCUGUUGGAGUGCACGUCCAAGCAGUAAGGCUGAGUGUUAGGCAAAUCCGGCACUCGUUAGGCUGAGCUGUGAUGGGGAGAGGAAAUUGUUUCCUCGAGUCGUUGAUUUCACACUGCCGAGAAAAGCCUCUAGAUAGAUAACAGGUGCCCGUACCGCAAACCGACACAGGUAGUCAAGAUGAGAAUUCUAAGGUGAGCGAGCGAACUCUCGUUAAGGAACUCGGCAAAAUGACCCCGUAACUUCGGGAGAAGGGGUGCUCUUUAGGGUUCACGCCCAGAAGAGCCGCAGUGAAUAGGCCCAAGCGACUGUUUAUCAAAAACACAGGUCUCUGCUAAACCGUAAGGUGAUGUAUAGGGGCUGACGCCUGCCCGGUGCUGGAAGGUUAAGAGGAGUGGUUAGCUUCUGCGAAGCCACGAAUCGAAGCCCCAGUAAACGGCGGCCGUAACUAUAACGGUCCUAAGGUAGCGAAAUUCCUUGUCGGGUAAGUUCCGACCCGCACGAAAGGCGUAACGAUUUGGGCACUGUCUCAACGAGAGACUCGGUGAAAUCAUAGUACCUGUGAAGAUGCAGGUUACCCGCGACAGGACGGAAAGACCCCGUGGAGCUUUACUGUAGCCUGAUAUUGAAAUUCGGCACAGCUUGUACAGGAUAGGUAGGAGCCAUUGAAACGUGAGCGCUAGCUUACGUGGAGGCGUUGGUGGGAUACUACCCUAGCUGUGUUGGCUUUCUAACCCGCACCACUUAUCGUGGUGGGAGACAGUGUCAGGCGGGCAGUUUGACUGGGGCGGUCGCCUCCUAAAAGGUAACGGAGGCGCUCAAAGGUUCCCUCAGAAUGGUUGGAAAUCAUUCACAGAGUGUAAAGGCAUAAGGGAGCUUGACUGCGAGACCUACAAGUCGAGCAGGGUCGAAAGACGGACUUAGUGAUCCGGUGGUUCCGCAUGGAAGGGCCAUCGCUCAACGGAUAAAAGCUACCCCGGGGAUAACAGGCUUAUCUCCCCCAAGAGUUCACAUCGACGGGGAGGUUUGGCACCUCGAUGUCGGCUCAUCGCAUCCUGGGGCUGUAGUCGGUCCCAAGGGUUGGGCUGUUCGCCCAUUAAAGCGGUACGCGAGCUGGGUUCAGAACGUCGUGAGACAGUUCGGUCCCUAUCCGUCGUGGGCGUAGGAAAUUUGAGAGGAGCUGUCCUUAGUACGAGAGGACCGGGAUGGACAUACCUCUGGUGUACCAGUUGUCGUGCCAACGGCAUAGCUGGGUAGCUAUGUAUGGACGGGAUAAGUGCUGAAAGCAUCUAAGCAUGAAGCCCCCCUCAAGAUGAGAUUUCCCAACUUCGGUUAUAAGAUCCCUCGAAGAUGACGAGGUUAAUAGGUUCGAGGUGGAAGCGUGGUGACACGUGGAGCUGACGAAUACUAAUCGAUCGAAGACUUAAUCAAU